This 522-nucleotide ribosomal RNA is filed under the name Chthamalus bisinuatus. RNAcentral's name for it is "partial 16S ribosomal RNA". It matches the Rfam family "Bacterial large subunit ribosomal RNA", at positions 1834 to 2618 of the family's 2925-position model. The record is from RNAcentral. Lineage: Eukaryota; Metazoa; Arthropoda; Thecostraca; Balanomorpha; Chthamalidae.
UUCCUCUUAGAAUAAGAGGUACGGCCUGCUCACUGAAUAUUAAAGAGCCGCAGUAUUUUGACUGUGCUAAGGUAGCAUAAUCAUUAGUCUUUUAAUUGGAGACUGGUAUGAAUGGCUAAACGAGAAAUUGGCUUUUUUUACUGUAAGCAUUGAAUUUAUUUUUUUAGUGAAAAAACUAAGAUGUUCCUGAAAGACGAGAAGACCCUAUAGAGUUUCAUAUAGUAAGUAAUCAUAUUGUAUCAGGUUUUUUUCGGUAUGAUUUGGUUCUAUAAUUUGUUGGGGCGACAUUAAGAUAUAAAAAACUCUUUUUUUAACAAACUUUUAUAAAUGAGUAACUUGAUCCUUUAAAAGAGAUAAUAAGAAAAAAUUACCUUAGGGAUAACAGCGUAAUCUUUUUUGAGAGUUCUAAUCGACAAAAAGGUUUGCGACCUCGAUGUUGGACUAAAAUUUAGAUGAGGUGCAGCAGCUUCAUUUUAGGGUCUGUUCGACCCGUAAUAUUUUACACGAUCUGAGUUCAGACCG